Molecule: ribosomal RNA, 430 nt
Filed under: Pseudomonadota bacterium
Lineage: Bacteria; Pseudomonadati; Pseudomonadota
Description: Proteobacteria bacterium partial 16S ribosomal RNA
Rfam family: Bacterial small subunit ribosomal RNA
Source: RNAcentral
UGGGGAAUAUUGGACAAUGGGCGAAAGCCUGAUCCAGCCAUUCCGCGUGUGUGAAGAAGUCCUUUUGGUUGUAAAGCACUUUAAGCGAGGUGGAGGCUACUAGUACUAAUACUACUGGAUAGUGGACGUUACUCGCAGACUAAGCACCGGCUAACUCUGUGCCAGCAGCCGCGGUAAUACAGAGGGUGCGAGCGUUAAUCGGAUUUACUGGGCGGAAAGAGUGCGUAGGCGGCUGAUUAAGUCGGAUGUGAAAUCCCUGAGCUUAACUUAGGAAUUGCAUUAGAUACUGGUCAGCUAGAGGAUGGAAGAGGAUGGUAGAAUUCCAGGUGUAGCGGUGAAAUGAGUAGAGAUCAGGAGGAAUACCGAUGGCGAAGGCAGCCAUCAGGCAUAAAACUGACGCUGAAGUACGAAAGAAUGGGGAGCAAACAGG